GACGAACGCUGGCGGCGUGCUUAACACAUGCAAGUCGAACGGAAAGGCCCUGCUUUUGUGGGGUGCUCGAGUGGCGAACGGGUGAGUAACACGUGAGUAACCUGCCCUUGACUUUGGGAUAACUUCAGGAAACUGGGGCUAAUACCGGAUAGGAGCUCCUGCUGCAUGGUGGGGGUUGGAUAGUUUCGGCGGUUGGGGAUGGACACGCGGCUUAUCAGCUUGUUGGUGGGGUAGUGUCUUACCAAGGCUUUGACGGGUAGCCGGCCUGAGAGGGUGACCGGCCACAUUGGGACUGGGAUACGGCCCAGACUCCUACGGGAGGCAGCAGUGGGGAAUAUUGCACAAUGGGCGGAAGCCUGAUGCAGCAACGCCGCGUGCGGGAUGACGGCCUUCGGGUUGUAUACCGCUUUCGCCUGUGACGAAGCGUGAGUGACGGUAAUGGGUAAAGAAGCACCGGCUAACUACGUG
Molecule: ribosomal RNA, 468 nt
Filed under: uncultured bacterium
Lineage: Bacteria
Description: partial 16S ribosomal RNA
Rfam family: Bacterial small subunit ribosomal RNA
Source: RNAcentral